UGUAAACAUCCUACACUCUCAGCUGUGAAAAUUAAGAAAGCUGAGAGAAGGCUGUUUACUCU
RNAcentral lists this microRNA precursor (62 nucleotides) under Dasypus novemcinctus (nine-banded armadillo). Its description in RNAcentral is "microRNA dno-mir-30c precursor (dno-mir-30c-2)". Its record names the gene dno-mir-30c-2. It matches the Rfam family "mir-30 microRNA precursor family", at positions 9 to 69 of the family's 77-position model. From Rfam's summary of the family: This family consists of the mammalian microRNA (miRNA) precursor mir-30a. Animal miRNAs are transcribed as ~70nt precursors and subsequently processed by the Dicer enzyme to give a ~22nt product. Lineage: Eukaryota; Metazoa; Chordata; Mammalia; Cingulata; Dasypodidae. The record is from miRBase by way of RNAcentral.